CAAACACCAUUAGAUUAGAUAGGGAGAGGGUCCUCCUCUUCACCGGCCAUGGCCAUGACUUGUGGCUGUGCCCUUUGCACAUGCAAGAAGAUGCAGAGCCUGCCAUGGCUCUCUGCUCCGCCCCUUUGGUAAGGUAAGGUCUCUUCUUUUUCUUGUUGUUUAGCCACAAGUUUCCUGAUGCAAUUUCAAGUUCAAGUUGAAGAUCCGCGACCUCUCGCACAAGGACAAGGGCGACCCGAUGAAGAGAAUGCUUCUUGGGCCAAUAUUAGGACGGCCCGUUUGCUCGGAGGGCUCACAAGCGCAACACCACUCCCAACCCUGCCGGCCCAUUAUGUUUCCCAGGCCAGUGGAGUCGCGACGGCCAGCCCAGCCCAUUAUGCCUCCCAGGCCAGUGGAGUCGCGACGGCCGACCCAUUAUGCCUCUCAGGCCAGUGGAGUCGCGAUGAUCGGCCCAUUAUGCCUCCCGCGCUAGUGGAGUCAAGACGGUCGGCCCAUUAUGCCUCCCAGGCCAGUGGAGUCGCGACGGCCGGCCCAUUAUUCCUCCCAGGCCAGUGGAGUCACGAUUGCCAGUGGACAGCGCCCGAUCUCAGCGUAACCUAGAUGGAUAAAAACCGCCUGAUCGGCGAUCCCACUCAGCCGCCGUCUCUCCAUUUCCUCACUUUCCCCUCCGUCUCCGGCGACCGCUGUCGACCUGCUGACGAAAUGCAAACUUUCUCCUGCAAUCUCUUCCCCCUGUGUUUUCUUGAACGAUGUGGCUCGUGCCUGCACUUCUCUAACCCCUGCCUGUGUUCUCUGCAGGGACGGAGGGCAAUCGAGGGGAUCACUCUACCGCCGCCCUCCCAACUGGCACAAGCCCAAGGGCAUCUACAGUCCGCAUGUUCGUCGUCCAAAGGAAAUUGAUGGUGGCCUGUUUUAGAAAUGCAGGUGCUCUCUUUGUAGUGGUUUGUUUUCUAUACUUGCAUUGAGCUCUUCUAGGUUAAAACUGAUUCUAUUAACAUUCUCUGUAGUGAUCAGAAGGGGAAUCCAAGGAUUGUUUAUCCCACUUGUGUUUUGUGGGUCACCAAUUGUGUUUUCCUUUGUUUAUUGCCUGCCUCUGUGCUGACUAUCUAUGACAAUGAUUGACUUGUUACUA
Triticum aestivum (bread wheat) is the source of this 1132-nucleotide long non-coding RNA. RefSeq lists it as uncharacterized. The transcript is spliced from 4 exons. The record is from RefSeq and is a predicted model, not a curated record. Lineage: Eukaryota; Viridiplantae; Streptophyta; Magnoliopsida; Poales; Poaceae.